CGUGAGAAACGCCCCUGGGGAGAGGCAGAGAUGGGUCUUUUAGUCUUGCAGCCCUUGUUUGUUUAAAAUGUCAGGCUGACUUCUUCUCAAUCCCAGAAAUAUUUUACUGGCAUGGCUUCAGCAAACAUGACUCAAAGCCUAGAAGGACAUGGCCAGAUCUCACUGAGUGACCAUUUAGUCCAACCUGAGGACUGAUGUUAGGAGGAAAAAUUCUUUCUCCAGGUCAAAUUAGACUUCUGCAGAUCAAAUAGGAUACCAAGAGAAGGAGGCACUUUGGCCAGGAUGGGGAGGGGCUAAAGAGCAGGAAACAAGCUUGGGGCGAGCUGGAAAUAUGUGUAACACAGGCUUGUAGGAGCACAGGCUUCCAGUGGCAGGGAAAUCUCCAAUUGGGUGUGUAGUAAAGACUUAAACCUGUUAAAAUAAAUUGAUUAGCCAAAGAUCUCUGCUCAGUGCUCUUUAAACUCUAACAUCUGUUCCCAGUAAAUAAUUCACAUAGCAGAUAUUAACUAGGAGGCUUAAAAGGAGGAGAUGGCAGCUUAAAACAUGCACUGAGAUGCCUCUUUGCCUAAGAAAUGCACACCCAAACCCACACCCAGGUGUUAAGGAAAAAGUGCUGAUGGUGCUGCUUCCUCCCUCUGUCCCUUGUUCCAGGCUGCACACCUGGUCCUACCCCUGUCCCUAGUAGGCUGGCAUCUUCACAGCUCCUUCCUCCCACCCCAGGACAAGGGCCCCUGGAACACUGGCCCGCAGCCACAAUAAGGGUGUCCAUGGAUUCCUAGGACUACAAGUGGUGGAAGGCAGCCCCUUCUCCAACCCUCCCUGUCACACAUACACCCUCCCCUGCAGCAGGCAGACAGCUCUUGUUUGCUGAGGCUCUGCUGGAGUCCUCCUUACCUGUCCCUCACCAAGGGACAGAUGCACCUCCGAUAAUGGGCAGAAGUUGGGUGUCAGUGAUGGGAAGAUUCUAGACCACUCCCUAGGAGAUAGCCCCUUCUCUUCCCUUAAGCAUCUCCCUCCCGACUUGGUUUUCUGGAUAUUCCAAGAAUAUCCUUUUCCUUGCCUCCUUUGCUCAGCAGUUUCCUGCGGAGUUCCAGUGUCUUCAGCAGAUCACCAUUGCUUUCAACUUUGGAAGGAGCAGGCCUUCUGGGGACACCCAAGACAUUCCUGGGCAGACAUCCCCAAAGAACAUUCAAGUCUGAGCCUCAAGGAGCCUCUGCGACUCGGUGUCUAGAUCCAGGAAAUGGAGAAUGAGCCGUGACUUUGGAUGCUUCACUCUUGUCCAUCAGGCUCGGAAUUGGUGAGCAUCUCCCACAUUACCGUCUCCAACGGAACAAGGUGCCCCAUUGGACAUUUCCUCUGCAUGGACCAGCCAUUCUCCAAAUCUGCCCCCAUGUCACCCCAGCUCCCCAUCGCAGUCACUUCUCACUCCUUGUCCCCUGUCCCCCUGAGUGACAGGACUUUUGCCAGUUAGGUCCUGUCCCUGUUUCUGAUCUUGGGUCCAUUCCCCAUGGUCCCUUUCUUGCUUGUGCCUUGGGAUCUCAGGCCUGUUGAAGUAGGAGGCAGGACUCAACUUCAGACCAGAUUGAAGACUGGCUGACACAGAAGAGGCACCAAAAGCACCUCUCUCUCCAUAAGACAUGCCCACCAGUGCCAUGACAGUUUACCAUUGCUAUGGCAAUGCCCAGAAGUUCUCACCCCUUUUCCAGACAUUUCUGCAUAAUCUACCCCUCAAUUGGCAUGUGAUCAAAAGUGGGUGUCAAAAUGACUGUGGAACUGUCCCUGAGCUGCUACUCUUGACAUGCUGGUUACAGGGUAGCCCGGCUCUGCAGGGACAGUCACGGAGCUGAAAAACUGCUGCCUAAUGAAGCUGUUUUCUUCUA
This 1880-nucleotide long non-coding RNA is filed under the name Homo sapiens (human). RNAcentral's name for it is "HSALNT0333901". The record is from RNAcentral. Lineage: Eukaryota; Metazoa; Chordata; Mammalia; Primates; Hominidae.